This 368-nucleotide ribosomal RNA is filed under the name Arachnia propionica. Its description in RNAcentral is "bacterial SSU rRNA". It matches the Rfam family "Bacterial small subunit ribosomal RNA", at positions 28 to 392 of the family's 1533-position model. Lineage: Bacteria; Bacillati; Actinomycetota; Actinomycetes; Propionibacteriales; Propionibacteriaceae. The record is from RNAcentral.
GACGAACGCGGCGGUGUGCUUAACACAUGCAAGUCGAACGGUAAGGCCCUUUCGGGGGUACACGAGUGGCGAACGGGUGAGUAACACGUGAGUAACCUGCCCUCAUCUCUGGGAUAACAGUCGGAAACGGUUGCUAAUACUGGAUAUGAGCUUGCAAGGCAUCUUGUGGGUUGGAAAGAUUUUUUGGUUGGGGAUGGACUCGCGGCCUAUCAGCUUGUUGGUGAGGUAGUGGCUCACCAAGGCUUCGACGGGUAGCCGGCCUGAGAGGGCGACCGGCCACAUUGGGACUGAGAUACGGCCCAAACUCCUACGGGAGGCAGCAGUGGGGGAAUAUUUGCACAAAUGGACGGGAAAGUUCUGAUGCAAGC